Xiphophorus hellerii (green swordtail) is the source of this 141-nucleotide long non-coding RNA. RefSeq lists it as uncharacterized. The transcript has 3 exons. NCBI's taxonomy places the organism in Eukaryota, Metazoa, Chordata, Actinopteri, Cyprinodontiformes, Poeciliidae. The record is from RefSeq and is a predicted model, not a curated record.
UUUGGGACAUUUUGUUUUACUUUCCUCACAGUUUGUGACUAUUUUUUUUAUUUCUUAAUUUUUCUGUUCAGUUUAUCAUAUCAAUUUUUUUGUUACUAAUGUGUGCCUUGUCAUGCUAUUUUCUUUUAAUAUUUCAAUAAA